AUGCGUUCCCUAGGGCUGGAGCUGGGGGGGGGGGGGGGGUGGUGUUCGCUUCGGGGUGUUUUGAUCCCAUUGUGCGACGGAGCUCCAAAACAAAUCCCUAAGCGCUGCUCCGGGUCGUGAGGGAGCCGGGCAGCGCUACCGGCGCCCGGCGGUGGGGGGGGAAGCCGCGGGCCGCGCUCCGCCCGCCCGCCGGGAGGAGGCAGGUGUCGGUCCGGGGGGCGGAGGCGGUGCCCGGCCCGUCAGACGGCCCCGCCGCCGCCCGGCACCCAAACAACCGGCCCCGGCCCUGCGCCCCGCCGGCGGCGGCGGCGGGGGGGGGGCGGGUGGGAGGGUGACGGGGAGGUGGCCGGGGGGGGGGGAACCCUCCGGUGCGCGGGCCCGACCCAAUCAGGAGGCGACCCCGCGCCGGGAGAGCGAAUCGGCGUCGCCGCAAAGCGCACAUGACCGGCUGCGCCCCUGCCCGUCAUCUGGGCCCUAUAUAGCGGGGCGGGGGGCGGCGGACGGGGGCUGCGCGGCCGGCGGGGGCAGCGGCGGGGCCCGGCGGGUAACUCCGCCGCCCUGCCGGGCUGAGGGCCGAGCCCGAGAGCGGUAGGGAGCUGUUCUCCCUGCCUUGCACCGGCAGCAACUUUUUUUUUUUUUUCAUUUUUUUUUUCUUUUUUUUUUUUUUUUUUUUGGAAAGCGAGCCGAGCGCGGAGCCUUCCCCAGGAGCGCGCCGCCCCGCCAGCUCCUACUCCAAAAAGAUGGCAAGAAAAAGCCUCUAGCCACACAGCAAAAGCGAUCUGCAAAGGCAACACACCAGAAAGGUUUCUCCACACCUACAAACCAAACUCCUGUCAGAGAUUAUACUCCACAACCAGCUCUAGCCAGGUGAUCUCCAUCCCAGUAUUUUCAACUGAAAGAUGACAGUGAGCUGCUACUAUAGCAGCUCUUCUUCCUGAAGUUAAAGCCAAGACAGGUCCAUCUGUAUCAGGAAAAUACCAGAAGAAACACAAAGAGAAAAUGCACUUCUGUAUUGACAGAUAUUAUCAGGUUGUUAGUCCUAGCCACAUUUCACUGUUCAUGUUUCAGCCACCUGCCAAAUUUAUUCUUUGUUUUACAGCAUGUAAGCGAUAGCAACAGAGCCACCCAUGGACAGCAUCAUCAUAACCCUUCACAGCACUCUCAGCGUAACACAGCAAAGCCAUCCCAUUACUACUGAACAAGAACCUUCCUGGCCUGGGAAGGGGUCACGUUUCAGAGGACGAUGGGUGAAAACAAUAGCCUUUCUUCUAUCCCUCUUUCCCCAGAUUCCCAAAGCCUGUGUUGCCAAGCCACCUUAUUCUCAUGACAGAUAUUCCUGAAGGACUUUACACCAUGCUGGACUCUGCAGUGUGAUGUGGUCCUUCCCCUAGAAACCCUUCCCUGCCCCCUGCUUUACUCCUCUCCUUCAGGGCUUGGGAUCUCCCCGUGCUCUGGGCAGGUAUCAGAGCUGCUUCAUCAGCCAAAGAUGAGUUGCAGGGCAGAGCAGACACAGGGUAGUUAGUCAGCAGAAGCAGGGAGCUUUGCAGUACAGUCAGGUCCAGGGAAGUUGGUUCCAGCCAGCAACACACACUGGAAGGCACUGAGCCCUACCAUGCUACUGUUUUAAAUAUUGUUAAAAGAUAUUUCAGUUUGUUUUCCUAGACACCUUAGAAGUUAUUUGGAUAACUUGCAGUGAUCUUAUUUAGCCCAGGUUAAAUAUGAGCACUAAAAGCAUGAUGUAACUCUUUAAGAACUGCAGGGGGAUUUUUAAAGGGGCAGAACAGUUGAUCAACUAACUCAAUGUUAAUAAAAGUGACACCUAA
Long non-coding RNA from Aquila chrysaetos chrysaetos, 1823 nucleotides. RefSeq lists it as uncharacterized. The transcript is spliced from 3 exons. NCBI's taxonomy places the organism in Eukaryota, Metazoa, Chordata, Aves, Accipitriformes, Accipitridae. The record is from RefSeq and is a predicted model, not a curated record.